UCAAGAAGCAGUUCUCCCGCUUCAUCGCUGCUGGCGUCAGCGCCGGUGAUCUCGAAGGUAUGUACGGUGACGCCCACAAAGCCAUCCGUGCUGAUCCCAACAAGAAGCGCGACGC
Molecule: non-coding RNA, 115 nt
Filed under: Ctenophora environmental sample
Lineage: Eukaryota; Metazoa; Ctenophora
Source: RNAcentral